GUCAGGGUUGGAAGAAGAAUGUAAAAUAAUAUAAAACACAAAAAUCAGAUAAUUGUGAAAAUAUGGAAGUAUAAAAAAGAGAUAACACAUGAGAUCAUGGAAGUGGCCUGUAGGCCACAUCCACCCUUUCCCAGUCCCCCGGGACACUGCUGCUACUUCAACAGCUGUAGUUUCCCUCUGGGUUGACGUGAUAUAUCAAAGUUCAAUUACUUACAUAUUGGUUGAUAGCAGUAUGCCAGAUGUCCCCAUUUGGUCAAAGGGCCAAAAAGUUUAUGUAGUCAUGGAUGCUGAUUUGGUGGUUGGAAAAACCAUCAUAAAAGGCUGUAGGCUGGGCAUGGUGUUCCAUAGUCAUGAUGUACCAUAGGCUAUUUAACCAUUCUGCUAUUUUCAUUCUUAGAUCAAGAUAUUUUCUACUAUAGAAUAGCUUUCUGUUUUCAGUUUUUCUGGUUUUGGUUUUUUGUUCUUGCUUGGUUUUCAAAACAGAGAUAAUACACUUUGGAUUAUAUUGUCUAAUACCUAUAUCUAUGUCAGUAAGGGUUUAGGAAAGAUAAUCUCUCUCCCAUUGGCUUCCCAAAGGUACUUUUUAGAAAAAUCCAUGACUUAUCUGAGAAGUUAAAGAGAAGAAUAUCUUUAGCAAAGUAUUACAAUAAUAUAUUUAUCAGGCCAGGCGGAUAGCUCACACCUGUAAACUCAUCACUUAAGGAGGCUGAAGUGGGUGGAUCACUUGAGGUCAGGAGUUUGAGAACAGCCUGGCCAACAUGGUGAAACCUCACCUCUACUAAAAAAAAAAAAAAAAAGCCUAGUGUGGUGGCAGAUACUUGUACUCCCAGCUACUCGGGAGGCUGAGGCACGAGAAUCGCUUGAACCCAGGAGGCAGAGGUUGCAAUGAGGCAAGAUUGCACCACUGCACUCCACCCCGGGUGACAGCAAGACUCUCUCUCAAAAAAUAUAUAUAUUUAUUAAUUUAUAUUUCAUCUAAAAUUCUAAAAAUGAAAAUAAGUAAUUCCCUCUACUGAAUAAUGCUUUAUUCCCUUGCUUACAUAUGAAGAACAAAUAUCAGUAACUAACUUUCAUCUGAUUGAAACUAUGAAUCACAUAGCUAAUCUGCUGGAAAGCGCAGAAUCUAAUUGUGGCCCAUCUGUAUUUUACAAAUAUAUAGGGCUUUGCCCAGGAUGAUUUAUUCCCUGAUUUUUUAUUUUUCUAACCUCAAUUUUCCCUUUUCUCCAAUUUUCUCACAUAUAUUUGUUCUUUUGCAUGUCUUUUUUUUUUUUUUUUUUUGAGGUGGAGUCUCACUCUGUCACCCAGGCUGGAGUCACUGGCGCAAUCUCAGCUCACUGCAAGAUCCACCUCCCGGGGUCGUGCCAUUCUCUUGCCUCAGCCUCCCGAGUAGCUGGGAUUACAGGCACCUGCCACCACGCUCAGCUAAUUUUUGUAUUUUUAGUAGAGAUAGAGUUUUGCCAUGUUGGCUGGAAUUCCUGACCUCAGGUGAUCCACCUGUCUCGGCCUCCCAAAGUGUUGGGAUUACAGGCAUGAGCCACCACACCUGGCCAUUUCUGUUGUUUUAAAUCAUGCAGUGCAGCCGCAGGAAACGAAUACACUGUCCCUCUAUAUCUUCUUAAGGUUUAUAAUUAUAUACAUAUAUAUAUAUAUCCUUCUUUUUUUUUUUUUUUUUUUGAGAUGAGGUAUCACUCUCACCCAGGCUGGAGUGCAGUGGCAUGAUCUCAGUUCACUGCAACCUUCGCCUCCCAGGUUCAAGCAAUCCUCCCACCUCAGCCUCCUGAGUACUUGAGGCUAUAGGCACACCACCACGUCCGGCUAAUCUUUGUUUUUGUUUUUUGUUUUGUUUUUGGUAGCAACAAGGUUUCGUCAUGUUGCCUAGGCUGGUUACGAACUCCUAGCUCCAGCGAUCCUCCUGCCUUAGCCUCCCAAAGUGCUGGGAUUACAGGCCUGAUCCACCUGGCCCAGAGGUUUAUAAUUUCUAACCUGAGAAGUACAGUCACAUGAGUGAUCAAAGUUUAUAAUUGUUAACCCGAGAAUCAGAGUAAUAUGAAUAAUCAAAAGAAGGACUAUUUGUGAGUUCUUACAGAUGAUUAAGAAUUAGUGUGAAUCUGAUGUUGUAAACUUAAGAAGUGAAGAAAGGAGUCACAAAUGCAGGGCCAUUGUUACUAAUUUCUCAUAUUUAAAAUACAUGUUGCUGAAUCUUGAAGAUAAAAUUUCUGAAGAACUUUGCUUUCCUACCAUGCCAUUUACAUUUAUUAAUGGUAUUACCCUAACGGCUAUCUAGUAUGGUUCAAAUAACACAGUGGGAGACCCACAAAAAGAAUUUGUAAGCUUGUGAGUCUAGAAUCAUAUAUAUAUAUAUGUGUGUGUGUAUAUAUAUAUAUAUAUAUAAUUAUUAUUAUUAUUAUUUUGAGACGGAGUUUCACUCUUGGUGCCCAGGCUGGAGUGCAGUGGCAAGAUCUCAGCUCACUGCAACCUCCGCCUCCCAGUUUCAAGUGAUUCUCCUGCCUCAGCCUCCCUAGUAGCUGGAAUUACAGGCAUGCACCACCACGCCCAGCUAAUUUUGUAUUUUUAGUAGAGACAGGGUUUCACCAUGUUGGGCAGGCUGGUCUCGAACUCCUGACCUUGUGAUCUGCCCGCCUCAGCCUCCCAAAGUGCUGGGAUUACAGGUGUGAGCCACCGUACCCGGCCUAGAAUCAUAUUUUGUUCAAGCUGAAACUUUAAAUGAAUUGCUGACUUAUGAUGUAAGGAUAAACAUACUUUUUAAAGCAGUAGUUGCAAAAACAGUCUAUCAAUUCUGCCCUUCAGUCCUUUAAAUGCUCAGCAAAUUACUGACAGUUACAUUCGUGGAAAUAAAUCCUUAUUGGAACAAAGCUUCUCUUUUCUUUCCUUUUUAACUUAUUUAUGAAAAUCAGAAUAAAAUACACAUAUACAAGGUGCUGCCUCUAAGUCUUGCUCAGCACCAUAUUAUGAUUAUCAAUUACUUUUUAUUGAAGGCUCAUAUGAGUCUGUGAACAAAUAUAUACUUUCAACUUACCUGUGGAGGUAGGAAAAAACCCUAGAGCACAGAAGUCAUUAAAUGCAUCUACAAUGGAUGCAUAAUGUAGGCCUCACAGCAGCUGAUAGCUAUGGCCCAACUCAUUUUUCUAUAAUGAAAGGGCAGGAAGAUGGCCAAAUCUGUCUGAUAUAAACAAGAUGACGAGGAUUUUGUGGCUGCCUCCACAGAGUAUGCAUCAAUGUUGUAUUGAUUCAUACUUUCUUUCAUUAGAAUAUAUACCUUCAGCACCAUUGAUCUUUAUUUCCAAAAAGAAUAGAAAGCAUUUUUAUAGGGUUUUCGCAAGUAUGGUUUUGUGGAUAAGCCUCUUAUAAAUCUUUAAGUAAAUGCAUUUCAUAAUUCUAAAUUUUAAGUGUGAUUUCAGUUAAAAAUAAAACCAAAACCUUCUUCACAAUAGCACUAGACAAUAAAUAUUUGUUGAAUGAAUAAAUGGAAGGAUUAAUGACUUUAUUCAUUAUGAAUCCCUACGUUAUUUCUACCCACCUUGCUUCCUUUGUAUUGUAAUUUCAUUUUGUCUAUUAAUCUGUUUUUAGGGAGAGAAUGACCCCGGGGUAGUGAUGCAGCUAUAGUGGCAUUACAAUUAUAUUCCUCACAGGAAUUUAAAAGUUGGCAUUGUGGUUUCAUUUAUAGACACCACUAGACUGUGAAUGCUUCACUGUAGAGCCUAGCACAGUGCCUGAAAUGUCCAGUGAAUGUUCCCUGCUUCAGUCUAGGUUGUUGUUUCAUUUAGUCAGAGCAUCAAAGAAAACACUCCCAUCUUUAAAAAUUGGAUAAGUGUAAUCCUAAAACCAAAAAGUGAAAUAAAAUUUAAGGUAUGGUGGAUAGCUUAUCAAACAGGAGAUACAGCAGAUGGUGGCAUGGUUAUGUCUGCCUUCUUUCUUUCAUUCUAAAUAGAUGUCUUCCAUCAUACACUUUGGAUGAAGCUAUUUCAAGUGCAGGUGUGGGAUGUUGGCUUAGGAUAAAUUACUCGGCAUCAAGCGAUCCCUAAUGUUACAAAGGCGAAGACAGGUUAAAAUGAGCAACACGGUGGCUUGUGCCUGUAAUACUAGCUACUGGGGAGGCUGCAGCAGGAGAAUUACUUGAGGCCAGGAGUUCGAGUGUGCAGUGAGCUAGGAUUGGGCUCCUAUACUUCACCUGGGCAACAGCAAGACCCUAUCUCUAAAAUAAUAAAAUGAACAACAGGGACAAACUUUAAGACAAGAAGAAAAAGGAAAGACAGCAUGCAAUUGCACUAUAACAUCUUUGAGACGCAUGGAGGAGAUGGUCAUUGUUACCAGAUAGGUCUUGCCAUAUGCCUAAUGGGGACAGAAAAGUGGUAGGAUACACAGAUGAGCUGUUUUAGUCUUUAGUAGUACAAACCAACUGGUUUUACCUCUUUUUUUUUUCUCCACACCAAUAACUCCGUCAGGCUUGAUUCCACAUGCACCUGUUUCUUGCGGCAGCAUGGCCCAGUAAUGCCAGAAGUCUGAAUC
RNAcentral lists this long non-coding RNA (4527 nucleotides) under Macaca mulatta (Rhesus monkey). RNAcentral's name for it is "lncRNA (ENSMMUG00000065265.1)". Lineage: Eukaryota; Metazoa; Chordata; Mammalia; Primates; Cercopithecidae. The record is from RNAcentral.